UACGUAGGGUGCGAGCGUUAAUCGGAAUUACUGGGCGUAAAGCGUGCGCAGGCGGUGAUGUAAGACCGACGUGAAAUCCCCAAGCUUAACUUGGGAACUGCGUCGGAUACUGGAUGGCUUGAAUUCGGGAGAGGGAUGCAGAAUUCCAGGUGUAGCGGUGAAAUGCGUAGAUAUCUGGAGGAAUACCGGUGGCGAAGGCGGCAUCCUGGACCGACAUUGACGCUGAACGGCGAAAGCUAGGGGAGCAAACGGG
This 253-nucleotide ribosomal RNA is filed under the name uncultured bacterium. Its description in RNAcentral is "partial 16S ribosomal RNA". It matches the Rfam family "Bacterial small subunit ribosomal RNA", at positions 524 to 776 of the family's 1533-position model. The record is from RNAcentral.